Molecule: ribosomal RNA, 497 nt
Filed under: uncultured bacterium
Lineage: Bacteria
Description: partial 16S ribosomal RNA
Rfam family: Bacterial small subunit ribosomal RNA
Source: RNAcentral
GAUGAACGCUGGCGGCGUGCUUAACACAUGCAAGUCGAGCGAACGGACUAGACUCUUGCGGCUUGGUCGCAAGCGGCGGGCGGGUGAGUCACACGAGGAAAACCUCCCUAUAUGACUGGUAUCACCUCGAGAAACCGGCGCUUAUACUGGAUAAUAUUCUGAACCGCAUGGUGCUAUAGCAAAAUACGGUGUUGAGGUCUCGUAUAGAUGCAUCCGCGCUGCUUUAGGUAGCUGGUAAGGUAAAGGCUUACCAAGGGAACGAUGCAUAGCCGAGUUGAGAGGGUGGUCGGCCACACGGGAAGUGGGACUCUCUCCAUACUCCUACGGGAGGCACCAGUAGGGAAUCUUCCGCAAUGGGCGAAAACCUGCCGGAGUAACCCCGCGAGUGUGACGAAGAUCUUCGGAUCGUAAAACUCUCUUAUUAGGGAAGAACAUAUGUGUAAUUAACUGUAGCCUUCUUGACGGUACCUAAUCAAAAAGCCCCGGCUAACUACGUG